RNAcentral lists this long non-coding RNA (615 nucleotides) under Solanum tuberosum (potato). Its description in RNAcentral is "long non-coding RNA (STUB_LNC000585)". Lineage: Eukaryota; Viridiplantae; Streptophyta; Magnoliopsida; Solanales; Solanaceae. The record is from RNAcentral.
UUUUCUUUUUAUUCUUUGUUUUAAAAAAAAUGGAAUAAAAUGAAACAAAGCAAAAUCUCGGGAGUCAUCUAAUAUGGAGUUGUAUGUUGUAUAUUUCCAGCAUGCUUUGGUUGUUUCCUAAGUCAUAUUCAUGUGUUCAAAAUACUCUCAUAUACGUGUGUUAAAUUAUUGCCUUUGUUUGAGUACACCUUUGACGUAUAGGUUUGGUUGGCAUGAUUUUUCAUGGAGUAAUUCUGUUCUGUGCAAGAUGUGAUCCUUUGUGAUUUAUAUUUUUAUGUAUCUGCCAAGAUUACUUCCAAUCCCUAUGAGUUUGGUCAUUCAUGUUCAGCUCGGUAUAAUUUUGCAUUAAUCUUAGUCUAAUGUGUUAAUUAUUUUGAUUCACUGUAUACAGUUACUUAGUUUUCUCUUAACAUGCAUGUAUUUGUUGGAUUGUUCCCUACUGGCACACUUUUCCCUUGUUUCAAAAAUAUAUGCAAAGUUGGUUAUGAUCUCAUAAUUGUUUUCCUAUGCAAAAUCACGUGAGAGCUAGUUGUUUCUUAAUCAUCUUAGAUUUGUUAACUCUUUGCUGACUAGUGUUACUUUGUUCUGUUUAUUGUGAGCAACUAUGGAGGAUUC